This 277-nucleotide ribosomal RNA is filed under the name Escherichia coli O121:H19 str. 2010C-4989. Its description in RNAcentral is "partial 16S ribosomal RNA". It matches the Rfam family "Bacterial small subunit ribosomal RNA", at positions 1 to 272 of the family's 1533-position model. The record is from RNAcentral. Lineage: Bacteria; Pseudomonadati; Pseudomonadota; Gammaproteobacteria; Enterobacterales; Enterobacteriaceae.
UUAAAUUGAAGAGUUUGAUCAUGGCUCAGAUUGAACGCUGGCGGCAGGCCUAACACAUGCAAGUCGAACGGUAACAGGAAGAAGCUUGCUUCUUUGCUGACGAGUGGCGGACGGGUGAGUAAUGUCUGGGAAACUGCCUGAUGGAGGGGGGUAACUACUGGAAACGGUAGCUAAUACCGCAUAACGUCGCAAGACCAAAGAGGGGGACCUUCGGGCCUCUUGCCAUCGGAUGUGCCCAGAUGGGAUUAGCUUGUUGGUGGGGUAACGGCUCACCAAG